This 445-nucleotide ribosomal RNA is filed under the name uncultured bacterium. Its description in RNAcentral is "bacterial SSU rRNA". It matches the Rfam family "Bacterial small subunit ribosomal RNA", at positions 354 to 796 of the family's 1533-position model. The record is from RNAcentral.
GUAAGGAAUAUUGGACAAUGGACGCAAGUCUGAUCCAGCCAUGCCGCGUGAAGGAUUAAGGUCCUCUGGAUUGUAAACUUCUUUUAUAAGGGACGAAAAAAGGCUUUUCUAAGUCGUCUGACGGUACCUUAUGAAUAAGCACCGGCUAACUCCGUGCCAGCAGCCGCGGUAAUACGGAGGGUGCAAGCGUUAUCCGGAUUCACUGGGUUUAAAGGGUGCGUAGGCGGGCAGGUAAGUCAGUGGUGAAAUCCUAGAGCUUAACUCUAGAACUGCCAGUGAUACUAUCUGUCUUGAAUAUUGUGGAGGUAAGCGGAAUAUGUCAUGUAGCGGUGAAAUGCUUAGAUAUGACAUAGAACACCUAUUGCGAAGGCAGCUUACUACGCAUAUAUUGACGCUGAGGCACGAAAGCGUGGGGAUCAAACAGGAUUAGAAACCCGUGUAGUCC